UAGCGUAUAUUAAAGUUGUUGCAGUUAAAACGCUCGUAGUCGGAUUUCGGGGCGGUCGUGCCGGUCUGCCGAUGGGUAUGCACUGGCUGCGGCUGUCCUUUCAUCUGGAGACCGCGCGUGCUCUUAGCUGAGUGCGCGCGGGAGACGGAUCGUUUACUUUGAAAAAAUCAGAGUGUUUCAAGCAGGCAGCUCGCUCUUGCAUGGAUUAGCAUGGGAUAAUGAAAUAGGACUCUGGUGCUAUUUUGUUGGUUUCGAACACCGGAGUAAUGAUUAACAGGGACAGUCAGGGGCACUCGUAUUCCGCCGAGAGAGGUGAAAUUCUCAGACCAGCGGAAGACGAACCACUGCGAAAGCAUUUG
RNAcentral lists this ribosomal RNA (359 nucleotides) under Haptophyta environmental samples. RNAcentral describes it as "SSU rRNA". It matches the Rfam family "Eukaryotic small subunit ribosomal RNA", at positions 595 to 957 of the family's 1831-position model. Lineage: Eukaryota; Haptophyta. The record is from RNAcentral.